UAUAUACACUCUGGAGAGUCUCAAAGAAAGAGCGCCGAAGGUGUACGGCAGCGCAGGCUGUUUAUCUCUCAGGCAAAAGGACAGAGCAGACAUA
Non-coding RNA from Anaerostipes sp. CAG:276, 94 nucleotides. The record is from Rfam. Lineage: Bacteria; Bacillati; Bacillota; Clostridia; Lachnospirales; Lachnospiraceae.